GGGAGGCAGCAGUGGGGAAUAUUGGACAAUGGGCGCAAGCCUGAUCCAGCCAUACCGCGUGGGUGAAGAAGGCCUUCGGGUUGUAAAGCCCUUUUGUUGGGAAAGAAAUCCAGCUGGUUAAUACCCGGUUGGGAUGACGGUACCCAAAGAAUAAGCACCGGCUAACUUCGUGCCAGCAGCCGCGGUAAUACGAAGGGUGCAAGCGUUACUCGGAAUUACUGGGCGUAAAGCGUGCGUAGGUGGUCGUUUAAGUCCGUUGUGAAAGCCCUGGGCUCAACCUGGGAACUGCAGUGGAUACUGGACGACUAGAGUGUGGUAGAGGGUAGCGGAAUUCCUGGUGUAGCAGUGAAAUGCGUAGAGAUCAGGAGGAACAUCCAUGGCGAAGGCAGCUACCUGGACCAACACUGACACUGAGGCACGAAAGCGUGGGGAGCAAACAGGAUUAGAUACCCUGGUAGUCCACGCCCUAAACGAUGCGAACUGGAUGUUGGGUGCAAUUUGGCACGCAGUAUCGAAGCUAACGCG
This 525-nucleotide ribosomal RNA is filed under the name uncultured Stenotrophomonas sp. Its description in RNAcentral is "bacterial SSU rRNA". It matches the Rfam family "Bacterial small subunit ribosomal RNA", at positions 343 to 859 of the family's 1533-position model. The record is from RNAcentral. Lineage: Bacteria; Pseudomonadati; Pseudomonadota; Gammaproteobacteria; Lysobacterales; Lysobacteraceae.